GAUGAACGCUGGCGGCGUGCUUAACACAUGCAAGUCGAACGGAAAGGCCCAAGCUUGCUUGGGUGCUCGAGUGGCGAACGGGUGAGUAACACGUGGGUGAUCUGCCCUGCACUUUGGGAUAAGCCUGGGAAACUGGGUCUAAUACCGGAUAGGACCUUCGUUUAGUGUCUGUGGUGGAAAUUUUUUCGGUGUGGGAUGAGCUCGCGGCCUAUCAGCUUGUUGGUGGGGUAAUGGCCUACCAAGGCGUCGGCGGGUACCCGGCCUGAGAGGGUGUACGGGCACAUUGAGACUGGGACACGGACCAGGCCCCUACGGCUGGCGGCAGUGGGGAAGGGUGCUCUAUGGGCGCGAGCGAGAUGCAGCGACACCGCGUGCGGGUUGAUGGCCUUCGGCUUGGGGUCUCAUUUCGCCAUGGACGGAGCGUUUUGUGACAGUACUUGGAGAAUAAGCACCGGCUAACUCCGUG
RNAcentral lists this ribosomal RNA (466 nucleotides) under uncultured bacterium. RNAcentral's name for it is "partial 16S ribosomal RNA". It matches the Rfam family "Bacterial small subunit ribosomal RNA", at positions 28 to 507 of the family's 1533-position model. The record is from RNAcentral.